This 449-nucleotide ribosomal RNA is filed under the name uncultured bacterium. RNAcentral describes it as "bacterial SSU rRNA". It matches the Rfam family "Bacterial small subunit ribosomal RNA", at positions 354 to 796 of the family's 1533-position model. The record is from RNAcentral.
GUCGAGAAUCAUUCACAAUGGGCGAAAGCCUGAUGGUGUGACGCCGCGUGGAGGAUGAAGGUCUUCGGAUUGUAAACUCCUGUCAAGUGAGAGUAAAGCCGGGCGUUAACUGCGAGCCGGUGUGAGAGUAUCACUAGAGGAAGAGACGGCUAACUCUGUGCCAGCAGCCGCGGUAAUACAGAGGUCUCAAGCGUUGUUCGGAAUCACUGGGCGUAAAGGGUGCGUAGGCUGCACGGUAAGUCAGAGGUGAAAUCCCGGGGCUCAACCCCGGAAUUGCCUCCGAUACUGCCGUGCUUGAGGACUGGAGAGGAGUCUGGAAUUCACAGUGGAGCAGUGAAAUGCGUAGAUAUUGUGAGGAACACUAGUGGCGAAGGCGAGACUCUGGACAGUUCCUGACGCUGAGGCACGAAGGCCAGGGGAGCAAACGGGAUUAGAAACCCCUGUAGUCC